AUGAUCGAUCGACGUUGGUCUUCUGGUCUACAAAUAAUAUACCGCUUAGCUUAUUUGAAGGAAACUUGCAAAAGUCAGACUCUAACUAGUUCAUUUCUUAAUGGGACCUACAACAACCGUACCGGCCGGAGCUCCAACCCACCUUUGCAUAGAUGUCAACUCUCACGCCACUACAAGAACAACAGAUCAAGCACCACAGGCACAUCAUCCUCCCUGUCGAUCGACACAUACCUAACAAGCAAGCUUCAGCAGUUUGUGAUGGCUGACAUGGUUCGGCUCCGAAGGACCUUGAUGUUCCUUCUUGUGUUUGGCGCCGUCAUGCAGAUGCAAGUGAGCUCCGUCGUGCCCCUUGCAGCGGCCGCCAGAGUGCUGCUGGAGGUUAACAUCGGCGUGGGAGUGGGAGGUGUCGGAGUCGCCGCUAAGGCAGGCGCAGGAGGGGUUGGGGUCGGCGCUAAUGCCAAGGCUGGAGGCAAACCAUUCAAACACAAAAAGACUGGAGGCAAAGGUGCUAGCCCUGCCCCGCCUCCAUCCGCCGUCGACUGCGGCGACAACAGCGACCCCUGCGUUGGCGGGGGCGGUGGCGGCAACGGCGGCGGCUAUUACGAUUACGCCGACUACCCGUGA
This 624-nucleotide ribosomal RNA is filed under the name Triticum aestivum (bread wheat). RNAcentral's name for it is "partial small subunit ribosomal RNA". The record is from RNAcentral. Lineage: Eukaryota; Viridiplantae; Streptophyta; Magnoliopsida; Poales; Poaceae.